Sus scrofa (pig) is the source of this 3604-nucleotide non-coding RNA. Lineage: Eukaryota; Metazoa; Chordata; Mammalia; Artiodactyla; Suidae. The record is from RefSeq and is a predicted model, not a curated record.
CCAGCGCUCUCCUGGAGCUGGGAUCCGACCUACCAAACAGAAAGUGUUUCCCCUGUUUUUCGUUAUCAAAUAGACCUUAAUAUUUAAAUCCAGAGAGCAGGCUUCCGUCGCGGCGCGGGGACAGAUUCAUCCCUGAUGAGGGCAAAGGAGCUGCGGCCGGCGCGGGGUCUUUUCUGCGCGGCUUUCCGGAAAGCAAUUCCCCGGCGGCAGCCGCAGCCGAGCAGGCAGAGCCGCCUCCCAGCCACCGGCCGGCCAAGGGCAAGAGAGGCCCCACCUUGCAGUCCGUGAGGCAGGCCUCUGAGUUCCCGACCGGCCUGCACCUACCUGAGGCCUCCCCGAUCGGUGGAGAGAAGCGGCCGCCACGGAUCAGCUCCUUCGCCAUGUAUUUGUAGUUGCGUAAAUCGAGCUUUGUAUCUGCGGCUUGGAUACACGGCCACUGGCGGCUCUUGGGGAAGUUAUAAAACCCUUUCAAUCAGAUGCUGUGAAAUUUCGUGUAUGAUGUAAGGAAAUAUAAGGAAGGCGUGUGUCUGUAAUACCCACGGGCGUAUAUAAACAGAAAAGGGCUAGGGGGAGAGGGAGGGAAAGAGACACCCAGGAAAAAUGUUAGCCAAAAAUCCAGUUCUCAGUUUAACAAGCGUGUACAGCGCCGCGAUGCAGGUUGUAAACAUUUUGUGGACUUGGCCGAGAUUAUUACAACCCAAAUAAAUGCACCGCGUGGCUUGUUCACAGGGCUCCGGGCUGCUUCCAAGGGUUCCCCGUUUGCUUUUGCGUGUUCCCUUCCUGUGAAACCACCCUGCACCGGGGCGGAUCACCGCACCCGCGCUCCGGGCCUCUUCUUGGAGGAGGCCUGCCCAAGGUUGGGGAUAGACUGGGCCUGGAUUGGGGUGCCCUCCCUCCAGCUCCUGGCCUCCUGAGCCGGGGACGCCUGCGUAUCCUCGGUGCAUUCACCGCAGAGGAAAGUCGGCGGCGAGAGAAAGCAAGCGCGGCGUUCACCAUGUGAGCGCCUAUCCUGGAGCUGGGACGUUAAUACAAUUAUUUUAAACAUCACGUUUAUUUUAGAAUAACCAAAGCAGUUCCUGGUCUGUCCCCCAGGAUUCUCCGUCCUGCCAGAGCCACACCGGGCAGCUACCAAAAACGCCUUUAUGCCCAAUUUUCAGCCGCCUGAUUUUGUUUUCACGUUUCUAAGGCGGCCUACCGCCCUAGGCUCCCGGCUCGCCCGCGGGCGCUGGCUCUCCCGACCCUGUACCGGGGUUGCAGCCUUGGGGGACCUCCCGGGCCGCCGCUGGACCCUUGGCCGCCGUGUGUGCCUUCUGGACACGCUCUAGGGGGUCACCAGGUCCAGGGCCUGCAGGCCUUAGUCCUAAUGUCUGUCCGCCAGUCAGCCGCUUUCUCCGAGAGUCCCGCCGCCCCGAGGCCUGUCCCGGGCUGGGGACGGUAACCCUGGAUCGGUCCUCGCGCCUGGUGCUAUCGCCCCGCAGCCGCCGGACCACUGCAGCCCCGCAGCGCUAGGCCCCCGGCGUGGGGGAGAGGGAGGCGGGCGCGGGGUAGGUCUGGCCAGGGCCCGCCGCUUGCUUUUUGUUUCUCAGCGAGGCUCCCGGCCAGGCGUGAGCAGCACCGAAAAUAUACGACCGCCGUUCACUCAAAUCUGGGGCUCCGAUUCCAUUAAAGCUCGUAUCAAGUCGACAUCUUAGGAACUUCCCAGGGUCGUGGCGGCGGGAGAUGGCGGCGCGGACGCCUCUUGCGUGGAGCCACACUGCCAUCUGCUGGCCGCAUCUUGAUACUGCAGCCCAGCAGCCGGGCCUGAACUUCGUCAGCAGCCGCCGCGGAUCCCGUAUCCCACUCCCAAAGCUGGAGACAGUUCGCAGAGCCGGCCUUUAUGGCACUGCACCCUUACUGCCCAUUCUUUGAAGUUCCUUCUGUCUGCAACAACAGAGGGCGUCCCAACCCGGCGGCGGGGUGGCGGUGAGUGUGCGGACGCCCCAGUCCCCCGCGUUCCGUUCCCCUUUAACGCGCCCAAACACUGAUAACUUUGCCGAAAUCGCGGGGGUGGGGGGUGGAGAGAGGGAGGGCGAGAAAAGAGAGGGGUGGGGAGAUGAGGCUGAACCCUCCUCCCCAUCUAGAAGGCCCUCGGGCCUGCAAAGUCGUGCCGGUUCCCCCCGCAGCCCUUUACACCCCAUAAACGGUAACAGCCCUCAUUUUCUUUUAUGGCGCUUGGGGCUGGUCGGUUGCCUCGGCUCUGCCUCUGUCGGGACUUGUGCCCGGGAAGGGUGCGCGGGGCGGGACCCAGAAGCCCCGGGGCGGGCCUGGUAGGAUGCGGAGGCGCGGGGGCGGGCGCAGGGACCGAGCCCUCGGUCCCCCGAGAGCGCCCGUCUGUCCGUGGCUGCGGCCACGUUGCGGAGUGUUUGCUCCAGUUUCUUUCCCCGCAGACUCCUUCGGUCCUGCCGCCAUCCCCUCCUCCUCCCGCCCGGGAAGUAGGCCCGCGGGGUCCCCUGGAUCCGGGCUCGGGAACUCCUCGGGGCGCCAAGAUGGAAGAGUGGCCUUUCCCAGCUGCUGGCCAGCCACCCGCGACACCCCAGCCCGGCUACUCCGAGGCCUCCCCGAUCGGUCCCCCGCAAGUGGACACAAAGCGGGGAGCAGGGCCUGGCCGCUUCUUGUUGCCCAGCCUUCCUCCUCCGCUGGCAGCCGGCCUGGUAGGCAGAGCCCAGGUCGCCCCGGCCUGGCUGCGGCAGGCGCCCAAGGCCCACCAGAGACAAAACUGAGCUUCUGCUCUCCUCCCUUCCGCCACCCGCCCCCCCCACCGCAGGUUCCCCGGCCCCGGAGAAGAUGGUGUAAAGAGCUGACCCGCAAAAAUUAGAAAAGAAUCAAUAUAUUUUAUUUGGCAAAAAGUUAAAUAUCAUCUCAACACAACAAUUUGGUCAGUAGGCCUUGAGGUAACUAUUGCAAAAUAUACAGUGUACGUUCAGCCCGAUGGAAACCCCAGAUUCAUCAAGGAUUCAAAUCUAGAACAGCCCAAUGGCGGUUUCAUAGCGUAUAAUUUAUUAUCAAUAAAAUUAACUCCGUUACAAUAAGCAUUCAUUUUCCCCCAAUUAAAAUUCAACGUAAACCAUAGGUAGUAACCUUCUGCACAUAUGUAUAGCUCCAAAUUUCCUCAAUGUUUGGUGCAAAAACAAUAUUCAAGCGUGUUUGAUGACUUUUCUUUAAUACGUGGAUUCUAUAUAUACAAUUGACAAGACAGAUUUAUAGAGCACGUACAGACUAAAAUGCCCGCAUUUCGAGUGGAGAAAAACCAUGAAUCUGUGUGUCCCGGAGAACACUUUCUCUUCUUUUCUUAUUUUAUUUUAUUUUAUUUCACUGGGAUAUCCUUACAGCUAGUUUACAACCAAAGUUUAACAGCCUAGUUAUACAGAAGACAUGUUCCACUACAGAGCUAUACUCUAUGCAACUGCUUUCUCCCUCAAAAACAACCUGAGUUCAAAUCGAAUUCUAGCUUUUCACAAUCACAACGGGUGCGUCACCCAUCACAGAAGUUUGAGUCACAAAACAUAAUUACCACAAUAAAACACAGUGUUCAAGUAUCUGGGCAGAUCGCUCUGCCGCACAAAAA